This 71-nucleotide transfer RNA is filed under the name Nanobdellati archaeon. Its description in RNAcentral is "tRNA-Gly". It matches the Rfam family "tRNA". Rfam says of the family: Transfer RNA (tRNA) molecules are approximately 80 nucleotides in length. Their secondary structure includes four short double-helical elements and three loops (D, anti-codon, and T loops). Further hydrogen bonds mediate the characteristic L-shaped molecular structure. tRNAs have two regions of fundamental functional importance: the anti-codon, which is responsible for specific mRNA codon recognition, and the 3' end, to which the tRNAs corresponding amino acid is attached (by aminoacyl-tRNA synthetases). tRNAs cope with the degeneracy of the genetic code in two manners: having more than one tRNA (with a specific anti-codon) for a particular amino acid; and 'wobble' base-pairing, i.e. permitting non-standard base-pairing at the 3rd anti-codon position. The record is from RNAcentral. Lineage: Archaea; Nanobdellati.
GCACCUAUAGUCUAGGGGCAUGACUCAAGCUUCCCAAGCUUGUGGCGCGGGUUCAAAUCCCGCUAGGUGCA